UGGGGAAUAUUGCACAAUGGGCGCAAGCCUGAUGCAGCCAUGCCGCGUGUAUGAAGAAGGCCUUCGGGUUGUAAAGUACUUUCAGCGGGGAGGAAGGCGAUAAGGUUAAUAACCUUGUCGAUUGACGUUACCCGCAGAAGAAGCACCGGCUAACUCCGUGCCAGCAGCCGCGGUAAUACGGAGGGUGCAAGCGUUAAUCGGAAUUACUGGGCGUAAAGCGCACGCAGGCGGUCUGUCAAGUCGGAUGUGAAAUCCCCGGGCUCAACCUGGGAACUGCAUUCGAAACUGGCAGGCUAGAGUCUUGUAGAGGGGGGUAGAAUUCCAGGUGUAGCGGUGAAAUGCGUAGAGAUCUGGAGGAAUACCGGUGGCGAAGGCGGCCCCCUGGACAAAGACUGACGCUCAGGUGCGAAAGCGUGAGGAGCAAACA
This 427-nucleotide ribosomal RNA is filed under the name uncultured bacterium. Its description in RNAcentral is "partial 16S ribosomal RNA". It matches the Rfam family "Bacterial small subunit ribosomal RNA", at positions 355 to 774 of the family's 1533-position model. The record is from RNAcentral.